Molecule: long non-coding RNA, 320 nt
Organism: Mobula hypostoma (lesser devil ray)
Lineage: Eukaryota; Metazoa; Chordata; Chondrichthyes; Myliobatiformes; Myliobatidae
Exons: 3
Source: RefSeq, a predicted model, not a curated record
CACCAGAUGGGAUGUUGUAGCUAUGAAGUAAUGAUGUCGAAAUAUGUUCCUGUUGAACCCGAGUCGUCUGGAGGGGAAGACCAGCUUGAUUCUGGUCAAUGGGAAUGAAUAGAAGAUCUCUCAGAAUAUGACUACACCUGAAUAAAUCAAGAAUACUUCCUGUGCCAAGGCAAAAAGCAUCAUAUGGUAUUCUGGCUAAUUAGAGAGCACAUGGGUUUUCCAAAAAUCUUUACACUUCAAGGAAGUAUUCUGCCACACAAUAUCAACACAAUCUGAAAACAGAUCUCCAGCCUGACGAGAAACUUGGAACUACACAUUGC